UACGUAGGCGGCAAGCGUUGUCCGGAUUUACUGGGCGUAAAGAGCGCGCAGGCGGUCGGAUAAGUCGAGUGUGAAAGCCCCCGGCUCAACUGGGGAGGGUCAUUCGAUACUGUUCGACUCGAAGGCAGGAGAGGGAAGUGGAAUUCCCGGUGUAGUGGUGAAAUGCGUAGAUAUCGGGAGGAACACCAGUGGCGAAGGCGACUUCCUGGCCUGUUCUUGACGCUGAGGCGCGAAAGCUAGGGGAGCAAACGGG
RNAcentral lists this ribosomal RNA (253 nucleotides) under uncultured bacterium. RNAcentral describes it as "partial 16S ribosomal RNA". It matches the Rfam family "Bacterial small subunit ribosomal RNA", at positions 524 to 776 of the family's 1533-position model. The record is from RNAcentral.